RNAcentral lists this ribosomal RNA (755 nucleotides) under Herminiimonas sp. RNAcentral describes it as "bacterial SSU rRNA". It matches the Rfam family "Bacterial small subunit ribosomal RNA", at positions 67 to 818 of the family's 1533-position model. Lineage: Bacteria; Pseudomonadati; Pseudomonadota; Betaproteobacteria; Burkholderiales; Oxalobacteraceae. The record is from RNAcentral.
CAGCAUGGGAGCUUGCUCCUGAUGGCGAGUGGCGAACGGGUGAGUAAUAUAUCGGAACGUACCCUAGAGUGGGGGAUAACGCAGCGAAAGUUGCGCUAAUACCGCAUACGAUCUACGGAUGAAAGUGGGGGAUCGCAAGACCUCAUGCUCAUGGAGCGGCCGAUAUCUGAUUAGCUAGUUGGUGGGGUAAAAGCCUACCAAGGCAUCGAUCAGUAGCUGGUCUGAGAGGACGACCAGCCACACUGGAACUGAGACACGGUCCAGACUCCUACGGGAGGCAGCAGUGGGGAAUUUUGGACAAUGGGCGCAAGCCUGAUCCAGCAAUGCCGCGUGAGUGAAGAAGGCCUUCGGGUUGUAAAGCUCUUUUGUCAGGGAAGAAACGGUGAGCUCUAAUACAGUUUGCUAAUGACGGUACCUGAAGAAUAAGCACCGGCUAACUACGUGCCAGCAGCCGCGGUAAUACGUAGGGUGCAAGCGUUAAUCGGAAUUACUGGGCGUAAAGCGUGCGCAGGCGGUUAUGUAAGUCAGAUGUGAAAUCCCCGGGCUCAACCUGGGAAUGGCAUUUGAGACUGCAUGGCUAGAGUGUGUCAGAGGGGGGUAGAAUUCCACGUGUAGCAGUGAAAUGCGUAGAGAUGUGGAGGAAUACCGAUGGCGAAGGCAGCCCCCUGGGAUAACACUGACGCUCAUGCACGAGAGCGUGGGGAGCAAACAGGAUUACAUACGCUGGGAGUCCACGCCCUACACGAUGUCUACUA